UGUAUUUUUUAUUAAUUUUUACUAUUUUUACCAACAUGCCUGACAUACGCUUUUACGAUAAUAUGUUAUUCAACUAUGAAACAACAAACAGGACAUAUUUUCAACCAGAAUUAAUAAAUUAUUAUCCCCCAACAUUGUACAUAGAGAAAGUAACGCGCCCAAGACCACCAUACAAACCGUUAAAUAAUAUCCAUACUCUUACAGAAUUCAAGAAACACGAUUUACCUUCGGAAUUAUUUGCAAACCAAAAUCAGAUUCUCCGUAAGAAUACUUACAAAGUCAACAGCGCUGUCAUUGAAAAUCCUGUGGAAAAGGGGUUAAGGCAGGCGACGCGGCCUCGUCCCGUAAUUCCACCUGCACUUAGUAUGGAUGAUAUCAAAGAUUCUAAAUGGCGUUUGCAAAACUUCAAGUGCCGGUAGUACCACCUGAAUGGCGAAUGGACUCAGUGAAGUGGGACAACAGACAAGUUCGAGGACACUGCAAUCCAGAUAAGUCAUUUUACUUAUCUCAGCCUUUGAGGUGCGAAGUCUGCAUCUCCACAUCUGAAAGAAAAGCUCAGAAGAAAACAAAAUAUUCAAACAACAAGCUUUAUUAGUAUAG
Long non-coding RNA from Pieris rapae (cabbage white), 600 nucleotides. RefSeq lists it as uncharacterized. The transcript is spliced from 4 exons. Lineage: Eukaryota; Metazoa; Arthropoda; Insecta; Lepidoptera; Pieridae. The record is from RefSeq and is a predicted model, not a curated record.